UACGGAGGGUGCAAGCGUUGUCCGGAAUCACUGGGCGUAAAGAGCCCGCAGGCGGCUUGGCAAGUUUGAGGUGAAAUCUCCCGGCUUAACUGGGAGGGGGCCUCGAAAACUGCCAGGCUUGAGGCAUGGAGAGGGAUGCGGAAUUCCCGGUGUAGUGGUGAAAUGCGUAGAUAUCGGGAGGAACACCAGUGGCGAAGGCGGCAUCCUGGCCAUGUCCUGACGCUCAGGGGCGAAAGCGUGGGGAGCAAACCGG
RNAcentral lists this ribosomal RNA (253 nucleotides) under uncultured bacterium. RNAcentral describes it as "partial 16S ribosomal RNA". It matches the Rfam family "Bacterial small subunit ribosomal RNA", at positions 524 to 776 of the family's 1533-position model. The record is from RNAcentral.